ACUGAGUGAGGGCUCACGCCCGACCUCCAACCCUUUGUGAACACAUCUUGUUGCUUCGGGGGCGACCCUGCCGGCACUUUGUCGCCGGGCGCCCCCGGAGGUCUUCAAACACUGCAUCAUUGCGUCGGAGUUUAAACAAAUUAAACA
This 147-nucleotide unclassified non-coding RNA is filed under the name Pseudocercospora sp. DMM-2016a. RNAcentral's name for it is "internal transcibed spacer 1". Lineage: Eukaryota; Fungi; Ascomycota; Dothideomycetes; Mycosphaerellales; Mycosphaerellaceae. The record is from RNAcentral.